GACGAACGCUGGCGGCGUGCCUAAUACAUGCAAGUAGAACGCUGAAGGAAGGAGCUUGCUCUUUCCGGAUGAGUUGCGAACGGGUGAGUAACGCGUAGGUAACCUGCCUGGUAGCGGGGGAUAACUAUUGGAAACGAUAGCUAAUACCGCAUAACAGUGGAUAUCGCAUGAUAGCUGCUUAAAAGGUGCAAUUGCACCAC
Molecule: ribosomal RNA, 200 nt
Filed under: uncultured bacterium
Lineage: Bacteria
Description: partial 16S ribosomal RNA
Rfam family: Bacterial small subunit ribosomal RNA
Source: RNAcentral